This 426-nucleotide ribosomal RNA is filed under the name uncultured bacterium. RNAcentral describes it as "bacterial SSU rRNA". It matches the Rfam family "Bacterial small subunit ribosomal RNA", at positions 354 to 796 of the family's 1533-position model. The record is from RNAcentral.
GUAAGGAAUAUUGCACAAUGGGGGAAACCCUGAUGCAGCAACGCCGCGUGGGCGAUGAAGGCCUUCGGGUCGUAAAGCCCUUUUCUGGGGGAAGAGGAAGGACAGUACCUCAGGAAUAAGUCUCGGCUAACUACGUGCCAGCAGCCGCGGUAAAACGUAGGAGGCGAGCGUUAUCCGGAUUUACUGGGCGUAAAGCGCGUGCAGGCGGCUGCGCAAGUUGGGCGUGAAAUCUCCCGGCUCAACUGGGAGGGGUCGUUCAAAACUGCGUAGCUUGAGGGCAGGAGAGGGAAGUGGAAUUCCCGGUGUAGCGGUAAUAUGCGCAGAUAUCGGGAGGAACACCAGUGGCGAAGGCGGCUUCCUGGCCUGUACCUGACGCUCAGACGCGAAAGCUAGGGUAGCGAACGGGAUUAGAAACCCUAGUAGUCC